This is an RNA transcript of Aricia agestis (brown argus), 3842 nucleotides long. It is a transcript of the gene named cold shock domain-containing protein E1, with no coding region annotated. The transcript has 14 exons. The record is from RefSeq and is a predicted model, not a curated record. Lineage: Eukaryota; Metazoa; Arthropoda; Insecta; Lepidoptera; Lycaenidae.
AGUUUUCAGUUUACAAAUUAUUAUGCAUCAAUUUCGGCUAAAUACUGUACUUAUCUGAAUAGAAAUUGUUAGACAAACGGCGUUUUUAAUUUCUGCAAAUCGCUUGAGGGGUCGGCCGUCGGGCGGACGACACACAUAUAACAAUAAAAUAUAGUACAAUAUCCCGGUAGGACGCUUGUAGAAAUUUAGCUUAAUUGCACAAUAUUGCGUUGUUUAUUACAAUUUUGUAAUUGUAUUAAAAAACGUUACCACUACUGAGCUACGGACAUUUCACACGAUUAGAUUUUCUCGAAUUUUGUGUGACCAAGAAAUGGUAAAAUGAUAGUGUGAUUACCAAUCGAUACUAUAGUUGAGCUAAAUAAUAAUUUUCAACAGUUUCUAAUUCAAAAGAUGUAAUGAAAAUAUCAACCAGUGGCGAAAGUAUUAAUUUUGAUAAUAGAAAGUGGGUAGUUGUACGCAACAAAUAAAAAAAGCACUGUACAGCACAGACUCAGCAGGCAUUGAAGACAUCUGAGGAUCAAGUGUAGCAUACUAUAGGUUUUUGUUGUCAUUAUUUUGUAAAGAGAGAGAAAAAUUGGUGUUCGUCCUGAGAUAAAGUUUAAAAAAUGUGAUUUAUUUUGUGACAUUGUUCAACACCUGAAUCUGAACACCACACCUUUUUCUGUGAUAUUUUGGUACAUGCAAGUGAAGUUUUUUGAAUUAUUUACACAAAACGAAAAUUAAGAAAAUGUCAAGCAAUCCUCAGUGGAAAAUAUUCCAACCGUCAGAUUCACCGUUACGUGACAUACUAGAUAUUCAACACGCCACCAUGCAAGCGAAACAGGCGUACAGGAACGGAACUUACAGCAGCGAGUUUCCUAGUUCUCCUCGCGACAACUAUAGCAAUACGGGAAAGUCUGGUGGAGGCAGUCGAUUUUCCAUGAGCACAUACAACAUGGACACAUGCCCUAUUGGAGACUCGGUUGGGACAUUCUCAUCUAGUUCAACCAACUCUCAACCUUUAUAUGAUUCAAUGAACCACCCACCUAUUAGAGAAACUGGAAUCAUCGAGAAAUUACUUCAUUCUUACGGGUUUAUACAAUGUUGUGAGAGGCAGGCUCGUCUGUUCUUUCACUUUAGUCAGUUUGGGGGGAACAUUGAUCAUCUGAAGAUCGGUGACCCGGUGGAAUUUGAGAUGACAUAUGACCGGAGGACUGGUAAACCGAUAGCAUCCACGGUGACCAAGAUUGCCCCUGAGGUGGUGUUGAGCGAGGCCAGGGUGACUGGGGUGGUAACUACCGAGGUGAAAGGGGAAGGCUCGGGAGACAGCACCGGACGGAUCUCCUACGAGAAUCGUGGUGAAUGUUUCUUCUUGCCGUACACUAAAGACGAUGUUGAAGGCAAUGUGACUUUACACACUGGAGACGCUGUUAGCUUUCAGAUCGCAACUAACCAAAGAGGUACAUUAGGCGCUUGUCACGUGCGUUUCGAGAAUCCCGCACACCCAGUGAAGUAUCACGGAGUAGUGUGCUCCAAGAAGGAGAAUUUUGGCUUUAUAGAACGUGCCGAUGUGGUCAAGGAGAUCUUCUUUCAUUACUCCGAGGCCAAAGUCAAAGAGGAACUGUCUUUGGGUGACGACGUCGAGUUCAUCAUACAAACUAGAAAUGGCAAGGAGGUAGCUUGCAACAUAACCAAGCUGCCAAGCGGAUCUGUGGUAUUCGAGGAUGUGAGCCCCGAGCUGUGGAGGGGGCAGGUUCUGAAGCCACUGGAACGAGGCUCCGCUAGGGCCCAGAGUGACCCGCUGCCCGGACGCAUACGAUACAGAGCGGUCGAUCAUUCUGAAGUUGAGGUGCCGUUCGGUGAUAAGGACCAGUGCGGCGAGUUCACUCUGCGCCACGGCGACUGGGUCCAGUUCCAAGUGGCGACCGAUCGCCGCGACCAGCUGAAACGCGCGACCAACAUCUUCCUUUUGGAUGAGUCAUUCAACGUGUCCGGAGAACGGCGCGAGCAAGGCGUAGUGUGUUCCCUACGCGACGGUUUCGGCUUCAUCCGCUGCGUGGAACGAGAGCAGACCAUGUUUUUCCAUUUCGCCGAAGUCCUGCGCUUGGGGAAGAAACUGAGUGUUGGGGAUGAGGUGGAAUUCACUGUCGAGCCAGCGGCUACCUUCAGUAACACCAGACAAGCGGCCACUCGAAUCCAACACUUGACUCCGGGCACUGUCCAGUUCGAGACGCUCAUAGAACGAGGCAUAAGGGGCGUCAUAGCGGCCGUUGGCGACAACCCUACUGUUAAUACAACUAUCAAUAACGCGAAGAAAACUAUACCGAUGAAGAAAUGCGAGAAAACUCAGUAUAGGGUUGGCGACAAGGUCGUUUUUGACUUGUAUCAGGUGAAACGUACCAAGGAGCCGAUAGCAUGUUCGGUCCAGCUACAAAACGCAACAACGAAUGGCGCGGGUCCGGGGCGCGCGCGCGGAUUCAUCGCCGCGCUGAAAGAGAGCUUCGGGUUUAUAGAGACGGCCGAUCACUCUAAGGAAGUCUUCUUUCACUUCAGCAAUCUGGAGGGUAGUCCUGAAAGUCUGGAGAUUGGAGGCGAAGUUGAAUACACUGUUGGUCGCGGCGGCGGCGGCGGGUGCGCCAGCGCAGAAGCGGUCAGGCCCCUAGCCCGCGGCACCGUACCUCUUGCGGCGCCCCGGGACCCACAACUGACAGGCGUAGUCACUAGACCUCUUCGCGCUUUGAACCCGGAUCAGCAGCAGUAUAGCGGCCUAAUACAAGUGGAAGGCGGUCCGUCGUACGAGUUCGGCAUAAUGGGUCUAGCUUGCAAGCGCGAGAUACUUCAAGCUGGAGACCCGGUCACCUUCCAAGCUGAUGAAGAGGGCCGCGCUACCAACAUCGUGCCAGUGCGCAAGAAGCGACGCGCAACCGUCGACGCUAUUAAAGGUUGUUUCGGCUUCCUAUCAACUGAGUGCGAGGACAGUCGGCGGCUGUUCUUCCACAUGUCGGAGGUGCGGAGCGGCGAGCUCGCGCCCGGCGACACUGUGGAGUUCGUGAUGCUCACGAACCCUCGCAACGGCAAGUGCUCCGCCUGCAACGUCGUCAAGAUCAGUAGCGGCAGUGCCAAAGGCAAGGCGCGGCCGGAGCGCCUGCUAGCGAGACUUCGCCUCGCCUCGCUGGAGGAGUCCGGAGCUCCCCGCGUGGUGGUGCUGCGGGCGCCCCGCGGCCCCGACGGCUCCCGGGGAUUCCGCCCCCGGCGCCCCCUAGCGGAGCAGCUGGAGUAAACACCCGAUUAAGCCGCUCUUAUACUCAUAUUAUCUUCCCGCGAGCGGACUUUUCAAUCGCCAUAUAACUCUCACCUAAAGGUAUAUAUGACAAUGAAGCGAUUCUUCUCGAAACAUCCCUCAGAUACUUAUUUAUAUUUUAUAUAGUUACUGACGAUUGGAAAAUCAGCCCCAACAAAGAUAUAUAAGCAGCCCAUUUAAGGUACUUUCUUCGUGUGUCACGGUCUUGUCUAGCCAGACAGAUAGCCUUGUUUAUCGCCGUGUAAAUAUUUUUAUUAGUAGAGGGUUACUCAAUAACAAUCUUGGCUAAAACUGAGUCUUCACUAGUUCGAUAUCGAGAUCCCUUAAGUCACGGUUGACAGCAGCUACAGUUAACUCUAGUAACAGCUUUACAGCACAGUUGGUGCAGAAUUUGGUUGACUUUCGCAUGCCAACACUGUAAGAGCGGUUUUUUAUGAUGGGCCUAGGUCAGAUGUGGUGAGAGAUCUGACGUUGAUAAAGCUUAUCUUGUGUGACUAUGGAUUGCAAUCCUAUAAUAAUAGUAUUUUAAAAAGAUAAAUACUAUUUCAAAAUUGUACGUUAU